GGUUCCGUGGCCCAAUGGUAAGGCGUUGCUUUCCGGCGGUGGGAGCAGCAUCCUGCUCGUAGACUGGCAAAGAUUGUGGGUUCGAGUCCCAUCGGGAUCG
This 100-nucleotide transfer RNA is filed under the name Friedmanniomyces endolithicus. RNAcentral describes it as "tRNA-Arg". It matches the Rfam family "tRNA". From Rfam's summary of the family: Transfer RNA (tRNA) molecules are approximately 80 nucleotides in length. Their secondary structure includes four short double-helical elements and three loops (D, anti-codon, and T loops). Further hydrogen bonds mediate the characteristic L-shaped molecular structure. tRNAs have two regions of fundamental functional importance: the anti-codon, which is responsible for specific mRNA codon recognition, and the 3' end, to which the tRNAs corresponding amino acid is attached (by aminoacyl-tRNA synthetases). tRNAs cope with the degeneracy of the genetic code in two manners: having more than one tRNA (with a specific anti-codon) for a particular amino acid; and 'wobble' base-pairing, i.e. permitting non-standard base-pairing at the 3rd anti-codon position. The record is from RNAcentral. Lineage: Eukaryota; Fungi; Ascomycota; Dothideomycetes; Mycosphaerellales; Teratosphaeriaceae.